GACGAACGCUGGCGGCGUGCUUAACACAUGCAAGUCGAACGAAGAGCGACGGAAGCUUGCUUCUAUCAAUCUUAGUGGCGAACGGGUGAGUAACGCGUAAUCAACCUGCCCUUCAGAGGAGGACAACAGUUGGAAACGACUGCUAAUACCGCAUACGAUCUAAUCUCGGCAUCGAGGAUGGAUGAAAGGUGGCCUCUACAUGUAAGCUAUCACUGAAGGAGGGGAUUGCGUCUGAUUAGCUAGUUGGAGGGGUAACGGCCCACCAAGGCGAUGAUCAGUAGCCGGUCUGAGAGGAUGAACGGCCACAUUGGGACUGAGACACGGCCCAGACUCCUACGGGAGGCAGCAGUGGGGAAUCUUCCGCAAUGGACGAAAGUCUGACGGAGCAACGCCGCGUGAGUGAUGACGGCCUUCGGGUUGUAAAGCUCUGUUAAUCGGGACGAAAGGCCUUCUUGCGAAUAGUGAGAAGGAUUGACGGUACCGGAAUAGAAAGCCACGGCUAACUACGUG
This 510-nucleotide ribosomal RNA is filed under the name uncultured bacterium. RNAcentral's name for it is "partial 16S ribosomal RNA". It matches the Rfam family "Bacterial small subunit ribosomal RNA", at positions 28 to 507 of the family's 1533-position model. The record is from RNAcentral.